CUCGCUAUGUGGCAGGAGGCGGGGUAAGACGGAGGGGGCAAGGGGUGGCCGGAGUUAUGGGGCGUAAGGAGCGUGGAGGCGGCCAGGCAUGUCCGCUGUGAAAACGCGAUGGCUGAUCCUCGAGACUUCGGUGGAAACCGCCUGGCUAGAGUCCGGAAGAGGAGAGUGGAAUUCCUGGUGUAGCGGUGAAAUGCGCAGAUAUCAGGAAGAACACCCGUGGCGAAGGCGGCUCUCUGGGACGGUACUGACGCUGAGACGCGAAAGCGUGGGGAGCGAACAGGAUUAGAUACCCCAGUAGUC
Molecule: ribosomal RNA, 300 nt
Filed under: uncultured Bacillus sp.
Lineage: Bacteria; Bacillati; Bacillota; Bacilli; Caryophanales; Bacillaceae
Description: bacterial SSU rRNA
Rfam family: Bacterial small subunit ribosomal RNA
Source: RNAcentral